Molecule: ribosomal RNA, 379 nt
Filed under: uncultured eukaryote
Lineage: Eukaryota
Description: partial 18S ribosomal RNA
Rfam family: Eukaryotic small subunit ribosomal RNA
Source: RNAcentral
CAAUAGCGUAUAUUAAAGUUGUUGCAGUUAAAAAGCUCGUAGUUGGAUCUCGGGUCCAGGCUUGCGGUUCUGCUCGUGCAGAUACUGCUCGUCCUGACCUACCUGCCGGUGUUCCCCUGGUGCCCUUAGCUGGGUGUCUCGGGUGGCCGGAACGUUUACUUUGAAAAAAUUAGAGUGUUCAAAGCAGGCGGUCUGCCUGAAUAAUGGUGCAUGGAAUAAUAGAAAAGGACCUCGGUUCUAUUUUGUUGGUUUUCGGAACUUGAGGUAAUGAUUAAGAGGGACAGACGGGGGCAUUCGUAUUACGGUGUUAGAGGUGAAAUUCUUGGAUCGCCGUAAGACGAACUACUGCGAAAGCAUUUGCCAAGAAUGUUUUCAUUAA